Long non-coding RNA from Gallus gallus (chicken), 1580 nucleotides. The record is from Ensembl. NCBI's taxonomy places the organism in Eukaryota, Metazoa, Chordata, Aves, Galliformes, Phasianidae.
CCUCGCUCCGCCCCGUCUCUGGGACGAGUGGUCGCGCGGCACUGCCGUGCGGGAUGAGAUGUAGUCCCGCCUCUGGGGCCGUGCCCAGAAACGCGGCUCGAGGGGCGGUAAUUGUUGCUCCUUUCUGCUCGUUGUGCGUGGUUUUUUUUUUUUUUUUGUUUUUUUUUUUGUUGUUGUUUGUUUGUUUUUUUAUUGCAGGCUGGUGUUUGUCUGCCUGUGGUUUUGCGGGGCCUUUCACCCGCGCUGUUAUGUGGUGCUUUGUUUCUGCGCUCUCAGCUUCUGUGGGAUGUGUGAAUCCCCAUUACCUGACAGAGGGAGUAAGCAAGUGAAUGUGUGGUGUUUAGCAGGCUACCUGGGUUAACACAGAACAAAAUGGAAAUUGCAUUGCAGUUAUCUACCUGCAGAGUUUCAUGUUGUGAAAUGGACACUGGAUUGGAUUAUUACUGAAUCUUGAAUAAGCUUGUAUCCCAAAUCAUAGACUUGUUCCUGAAAGAACACACUGAAUGCACUGAGAGUAUUUUAAAGGGAAGUCUUCUAUAUUUUAACAUUCAGAUCUGUGUCUUAUUCUACUUUUAAGCCUACAAUUUUUAUUUUUAUUUUUUAUAUACAUUUGCAUUUAUUUUUCGUACUUUCACAGAAUGAGGAUGAGGUUGGAAAGGACCUCUGGGUCCAUCUGGUCCAACCCCUGCUCAAGCAGGGACUCUAGAGCAGGAUGCCCAUGACCGUGCCCAGGUGGCUUCUGAAGAUCUUCCUGGAGGAGAACUCAGUCACCUGCACAGUAAAGAAGUGCUUCUUGAUGUUCCAAUGGAGCCUGCUGUGUUCCAGUUUUUGCACAGUGCCUCUUGUACUGAGGCUGAACAUCACUGAAAAGAGCCUGGCUACAUCCUUUUUGCACCCUCCCGUCAGCUAUUUCUACAACUGUACUGCAAAUUCAGUCAUGGAACAGAUCUACUCUGAAAUGAGAAAGGAGCAUGAAGAAGUCAACCUAAUAUUCAUUAUGACCAUUUCAUACUGGGAAGCCAUGUCCUAAAGGAAAUGCAGAUGGAUUACACCUUUUGUAUCCCAGAAGACAGUGCACAUCUUCUGGGACGUGCACUACUCACUGAGGGCUGUUUCUUGAACCUUUUCUUCACUGAGGAAUUCACAUGUCACUACUCUGUGAACUGCUGUUUUUUUUACCUCUGGCUUGUAGUGAUGACUCCACAUCUCAUCACCAGUAAUCAUGUGAUCCAGGAAUCUGCCACCUUCAGCCUCUUAAUGGUUCGAUACAUCCAGAAAAACUUGCAUAUAGUGUUCUUUUUGUUCCCAUGUGUACAUUCAUGGGACCCACUCAGCACAGACUUUGUGAUAUUCCAACAUUGUUGCUAUCAUUUCCAGUGCAUUCAAAUCAAUAUUCAGCCGUGUACACAGUUCCCUGGUUUUAAUCUGCUGAUUUGUGUGGGUGAGCUGAUCAAGAUGCUGUUCAGUUAAUGACGUGACAGCUGUGCAUGGCAGUUUGGUACAUGGCUUGUCUUUAAUGUUGCUGUUGCCACUGCUGAAACAUGCCACCCACUGCCUCACUGCGCUCACAUCCAAUGUCC